CCUACGGGGGGCUGCAGUGAGGAAUUUUGCGCAAUGGGGGAAACCCUGACGCAGCAACGCCGCGUGAGUGAUGAAGGCCUUCGGGUCGUAAAGCUCUGUCAAGUGGGAAGAACCUGCAGAAAGCUAACAUCUUUUUGCACUGACGGUACCACUGAAGGAAGCACCGGCUAACUCCGUGCCAGCAGCCGCGGUAAUACGGAGGGUGCAAGCGUUAUUCGGAAUUAUUGGGCGUAAAGGGCGCGUAGGCGGCCGUUUAAGUCAGGUGUGAAAGCCCGGGGCUUAACCCCGGAAGUGCAUUUGAUACUGAGCGGCUUGAGUAUGGGAGAGGGAAGUGGAAUUCCUGGUGUAGAGGUGAAAUUCGUAGAUAUCAGGAGGAACACCGGUGGCGAAGGCGACUUCCUGGACCAAUACUGACGCUGAGGCGCGAAGGCGUGGGGAUCAAACAGGAUUAGAUACCCUGGUAGUC
Molecule: ribosomal RNA, 466 nt
Filed under: uncultured Desulfobacteraceae bacterium
Lineage: Bacteria; Pseudomonadati; Thermodesulfobacteriota; Desulfobacteria; Desulfobacterales; Desulfobacteraceae
Description: bacterial SSU rRNA
Rfam family: Bacterial small subunit ribosomal RNA
Source: RNAcentral